UGCCCUAGUAACGGCGAGUGAAGCGGCAACAGCUCAAAUUUGAAAUCUGGCUCUCGGGCCCGAGUUGUAAUUUGUAGAGGAUACUUUUGAUGCGGUGCCUUCCGAGUUCCCUGGAACGGGACGCCAUAGAGGGUGAGAGCCCCGUCUGGUUGGAUGCCAAAUCUCUGUAAAGUUCCUUCAACGAGUCGAGUAGUUUGGGAAUGCUGCUCUAAAUGGGAGGUAUAUGUCUUCUAAAGCUAAAUACCGGCCAGAGACCGAUAGCGCACAAGUAGAGUGAUCGAAAGAUGAAAAGCACUUUGAAAAGAGAGUUAAAAAGUACGUGAAAUUGUUGAAAGGGAAGCGUUUAUGACCAGACUUGGGCUUGGUUAAUCAUCUGGGGUUCUCCCCAGUGCACUUUUCCAGUCCAGGCCAGCAUCAGUUUUCCCCGGGGGAUAAAGGCGGCGGGAAUGUGGCUCUCUUCGGGGAGUGUUAUAGCCCACCGUGUAAUACCCUGGGGGGGACUGAGGUUCGCGCAUCUGCAAGGAUGCUGGCGUAAUGGUCAUCAACGACCCGUCUUGAAACACGGACCAAGGAGUCGUCUUCGUAUGCGAGUGUUCGGGUGUCAAACCCCUACGCGUAAUGAAAGUGAACGCAGGUGAGAGCUUCGGCGCAUCAUCGACCGAUCCUGAUGUUCUCGGAUGGAUUUGAGUAAGAGCAUACGGGGCCGGACCCGAAAGAAGGUGAACUAUGCCUGUAUAGGGUGAAGCCAGAGGAAACUCUGGUGGAGGCUCGCAGCGGUUCUGACGUGCAAAUCGAUCGUCAAAUAUG
Molecule: ribosomal RNA, 807 nt
Filed under: Fusarium oxysporum
Lineage: Eukaryota; Fungi; Ascomycota; Sordariomycetes; Hypocreales; Nectriaceae
Description: eukaryotic LSU rRNA
Rfam family: Eukaryotic large subunit ribosomal RNA
Source: RNAcentral